UUAGUUGAAACCAAAUAGAGGUAUAUCAUUGUUAAUGAUAAAACUGAGAAAUUCUCCAAUUAAG
RNAcentral lists this transfer RNA (64 nucleotides) under Histeridae sp. BMNH 1274329. RNAcentral describes it as "tRNA-Asn". The record is from RNAcentral. Lineage: Eukaryota; Metazoa; Arthropoda; Insecta; Coleoptera; Histeridae.